UUCUGACUUUCUCUCUUUUCACGACCAAUAGAAAAUUCAAAAUGAUUUUCCAGCAACACACGGUGGCCGGAAAUCGCCCUAUGGCGGCGACUGCGACGGCCGGAGGUUAAAACCUCUGAUUGAAACCUCUUACCCAAUCGUUACGUUCCCCUGACUACGAAAAUCUCCUCAGUUUUCUUUGAUUCUCUCUCAUAUUCUUAUAAUCGGGCCAACAAGGAAACCCUAGAUCUAACCAAAAAUCCAAUUAAACACAGAUGGUGAUGACAUAGAGAACGAGGCCAUGGGGGAAGAAAAUAGGAGAUCUUGAUCUUCACGGUGGUAACACAAACACAUAGAAGAUGAAUAGUCAAAGAGUUCAAGGGUUUACCUGGAGCGACGCACGAGAUUGCAGAUUGAGAAGGCUAGAGAUGAGAUAUUUGUGGCUUCUAGAUUGAAUGUUCCAGGAGCAUGGCAAAUGCCUCAAGGUGGCAUUGAAGACGGUGAAGAACCGAAGUCUGCUGCGAUUAGAGAACUUCGAGAAGAAACUGGAAUAGUAUCUGUCGAGAUAAUCGCCGAGCUAACCCUUUUCUCAGGAUUUGUCAGCUAUCAGAUGGUUAGAGAUGCAUAUGAUGGGUUCGAAUGUAUUUCGGUUAACUGAUGCAGCAGGUACCUGAAUAUGUGAUGCUGAGUUGUGGUUUUGUUGGCAGGCUGAUUUGUGCAGGGCUCAUGGUUUAGCAUAGUGAGGUUGGAAUGUGCUGAGUGUCUUGGACUGAAUUUCUUGGAUCGUUUCGAUUUGGCAGGUUAUUACUCUGAAUUCAUUAAUGCAUAAUUCAAGUCUGUUUUGGAUUGAAUGAUAUUGAACGGGUUAUGAUGUGCAUAUGGAAAUGAAUGGUAUGGUUUGAUUUAGUGUAUGGUUUAAGAUUGUUAAUGUGUAUAUGGUGAAAAUGUUGCCUUGUGUGAUCCUGUUCUGACUUAUGAAUUGUGUUGAUGUUUAACUUGUGGUGCUACCUUUUGGUUAUGAAUAUAGGGUUUGAUGAGGCUGCAAUGUAUUUUCCACAAAUGAAUGUAUAUGACUGUGCCUUUGUUAUGUUUGGAUUGUAUAAGUAAUAUAUGCAGACUUGCUGCAGUAGUAAGUUUGAUCGUUAUGUCACCGUUGUUCUGGUGCGAGGUGGCUUUAUGUCUCCCACUUUUAUUGUGUUUGAAAACACUCUUCAUAAGUAACCUGUCAUUGUAAACAUCACCAAAUUGCUAAAUGAGCAUCUUAUAACUAGAAUUUGUUAGCCGUAAAAUUCCGUAUAAUUUGAAUUUUGUUCACUAUUUCUAUAUUUUAUACUCAAAACAUGUUUCUAUGUGUGUGUUGUAUGUAUAGUUGAAGUAGAAGAAAAGAAUACAAGUGAUUUUGGUCUUGUCAUCUAACUAAAACAUAGUAAGAUGUUUUCUAGGCGAUACAUGGAGGCUGCUGCAACUUUGAUUUUUAAGGUGGGGGUUUAUUUCCAUUGAAAUGUCUUACACAAUUUUCAGAACCUUUCAACUUCACCCGUUUCUACUCUAUCCGACCUCAAUACUUAAACAAAGUAAUGGAUUCUUUUAUUCCACAACAACCCUUAUGCAUACUGAAUAUGGAAACUUCUCUCAGGUGGUGUCCGUGUUUUUUUAUCCUUGGUUAUCAGUUAAAUUGUUUUAAUAGUUAUUUGUUGUUCUAUAAUUUAUAUGCACAUGCUCUGUUGCAGCUACCAUGAAUUGGAGCUUGCAGAGGUAAAUAGAAUUUUAGAAAAAGGUAGUCAUCAAGUAUAGACACUAUGAUGGAAAAUUGAUACUCUAGGCUACCGAUAAUCCACAGGUACUAACUCUAUUUCCUAAGUAAAUAUACAUUGCAAUUGAUGAACUAUACUUUAUUUCACCAUUGGAAUCUAGUGCACAUGGAUGGUAUAUGAGUGUUAUAAAUUCUAUAGUACUGAGUUCGAUUGGCCUCUUAUCAAGCUUUUCCAACCAACUGAUUAAGUUUUAAUUAGCUCUUGAUUUGUGCUAAUUAUUAACAGAAUUUGUGAUCACCUUGGUGUUGUGAACAUGAUGGUAGUUAAGUUAAGUAACUAACAUGUUGCAUCAAUUAGGACAUGACAACACACUCAGUUAGCCCCCUUGAGUUUUAGUUAUUUAUUUGGUUAGCAAACUUGUCAUUUGAGACUGUUGGGAAAGCAAUGGAAACAGAACAGUUCCUGUUCUUCGAUGCGGUUAAUUUUAUUUUAUCUCUGCAGGUAUAUGUUUGGACUUGAAUGGAGUAAUUGAAAAAAGAAAAUUGCCACCAACAAUUGCUACAGUGAGUUCUUUGUUGAGGUUUUCUUUUAUUUUAUCUUUGGCACAAAAUCAGUGAGUCAAAAUUUGUUUUCCAGUUUUUGUGUUCAAUCAAUGUUGCAUGCUUAUUUUCAAUACGUUUGGGUUGAAUUUAUAGGGCUAACUAGAAAUUGUGUUAUUAUUACAGACACAUUGAGUAUUGCAUGCAUAGAGUGAGUUUGUUGCGCCAUUAUGGUGUUAAGCCAUUCUUGUACUUGUUGCCACUAUAGGUACAGGUGUCACGAUACUGAUCGCGGUCGUCGCAGUGUGAAUUAAGACCAAUUUGUUCUUUAUUAUCUAGUUUUUUAAACCAUAUGAUCUCAUAAUCCAGGUUGUUGUUGCGCUUUUGCUUAUGAAACCAGUUUUUUUUAUGCAAUAAGUGCAGGGCUAGAAAGGAUACUUUUGAACGUGCAGUUGAACAUGAUUCAAAUGGGAAUUCUACAGCUGCCUAUGAGUACUGCCAGAAAGCUGUUGAUAUCACGCAUGUGAUUGCAGUUUAUCAGAGCUAGUCUGGAUGUUGUGAAGGAGAUAGUAAGACUGUUAUUUACAAAGUAACGCUCACAUGUAUUUGUGUUUCAUUUGGAUAUAUUAAACAAAUGUAAUUACAUUUUCUCCUAAAUGUUGAAACCUUGUUUUUUUAUAUAUAAGACUAAGAAAAUGAAAUACAUGGACGUACCUACUAAAUUA
Vicia villosa (hairy vetch) is the source of this 2997-nucleotide long non-coding RNA. RefSeq lists it as uncharacterized. NCBI's taxonomy places the organism in Eukaryota, Viridiplantae, Streptophyta, Magnoliopsida, Fabales, Fabaceae. The transcript is spliced from 5 exons. The record is from RefSeq and is a predicted model, not a curated record.